UACAGAGGUCUCAAGCGUUGUUCGGAUUCAUUGGGCGUAAAGGGUGCGUAGGUGGCGGGGUUAGUCAGGUGUGAAAUCUCGGGGCUCAACCCCGAAACUGCACUUGAUACUGCCUUGCUAGAGUACUGGAGAGGAGAUUGGAAUUUACGGUGUAGCAGUGAAAUGCGUAGAUAUCGGAAGGAACACCGGUGGCGAAAGCGGCGCGCUGGACCUCUUCUGACGCUGAGGCGCGAAAGCCAGGGGAGCAAACGGG
This 253-nucleotide ribosomal RNA is filed under the name uncultured bacterium. RNAcentral's name for it is "partial 16S ribosomal RNA". It matches the Rfam family "Bacterial small subunit ribosomal RNA", at positions 524 to 776 of the family's 1533-position model. The record is from RNAcentral.